UCAACUUCUUCUCUUUUCUUCUCUAUCAAUAUUCAGUUUCCCCUUUUUUCUCUUCCUCAACUUCUCCUUUUUUCUUCUCCGUUUUUGUUUUUCCUCCUUUAUUCUUUUGCAUCCAUCCCGUUUUUGUUUCUCCUCCUUUAUUCUUUUGCGUCCGUCCAUAUUUUGUUUCACGUCAAUAUUCUAUUUUUUUUCCUUUUUUGUCUAAUUUUUUGUACUUUGAUUUUUAGGACAGUCUAACGACGGUGCUGAAGGUUACGAGGCUUUGCCCAUGGAAGAGUUGGGAUAGGCUACUAAAGAAUAAAGGCUAACGAUGGUGUUGAAGGUUACGACGCUUUGCCCAUGCAAGGGUUGCAACAAUAGGACUUGAGAGAAGGUGAAAAAACACAUUAAAGUUGCGAUUUUUAUCUCAAAAACUUCAUGGGUUCAGAGAAGGUGGAAGAAGACACUGAAGCUGCCAUUUUUUACUCCAAAAAGCUUCCAUUUUUAUCUGAUUUUUAUGUUAAAAGGUUUGUCUCCUUUGUUUCUCUGUCUACAUGUUCAUUUUCUUUGUUUCUUUGUUUCUCCAUCUUCCUUUUUCGUUCCUCUCCAUUCAUCUUCCUUCAUAUUCUGUUUUCUUUGUUUCUUUGUUUCUCUAACUUCCAUUUGCGUUCGUCUUCAUUCCUCUUCAUAUUCCGUUUUACUCCUAUUUUUGUUUUAGUUCCAUUUUUGUUUAUCUCGUUGCAUGUUAUUUGUUUUUUAUGAAUCGUUAUUGUAUGUAGAGAAGGUGGAAGGAGACACUAAAACUGCCAUUUUUAACUCCAAAAACCUUCGAUUUUUAUCUGAUUUUUUAUCUCAAACAGGAUUCUUUUCUUUGUUUCUCUAUCU
Long non-coding RNA from Glycine soja, 864 nucleotides. RefSeq lists it as uncharacterized. The transcript is spliced from 4 exons. The record is from RefSeq and is a predicted model, not a curated record. Lineage: Eukaryota; Viridiplantae; Streptophyta; Magnoliopsida; Fabales; Fabaceae.